UACGGGGGGUGCAAGCGUUGUCCGGAAUCAUUGGGCGUAAAGCGUUCGUAGGCGGCAAGGUAAGUCUGAUGUUAAAGCCCGGGGCUCAACUCCGGUUCGGCAUUGGAUACUAUCUAGCUAGAAUGUGGUAGAGGUAAAGGGAAUUCCUGGUGUAGCGGUGAAAUGCGUAGAUAUCAGGAGGAACAUCGGUGGCGAAAGCGCUUUACUGGACCAUUAUUGACGCUGAGGCACGAAAGCGUGGGGAUCGAACAGG
This 253-nucleotide ribosomal RNA is filed under the name uncultured cyanobacterium. RNAcentral's name for it is "partial 16S ribosomal RNA". It matches the Rfam family "Bacterial small subunit ribosomal RNA", at positions 524 to 776 of the family's 1533-position model. The record is from RNAcentral. Lineage: Bacteria; Bacillati; Cyanobacteriota.